GCCGGGCAUGGUGGUGCGUGCCUGUAGUCCCAGCUACUUGGAGGCUGAGGCAGGAGAAUGGCGUGAACCCAGGAGGCGGAGCUUGCAGUGAGCCGAGAUGGUGCCACUGCACUCCAGCCUGGGUGACAAAGCGAGACUCCGUCUCAA
Unclassified non-coding RNA from Macaca fascicularis (crab-eating macaque), 147 nucleotides. It matches the Rfam family "Metazoan signal recognition particle RNA". From Rfam's summary of the family: The signal recognition particle (SRP) is a universally conserved ribonucleoprotein. It is involved in the co-translational targeting of proteins to membranes. The record is from Ensembl. Lineage: Eukaryota; Metazoa; Chordata; Mammalia; Primates; Cercopithecidae.